GCAGUGGGGAAUAUUGGACAAUGGGCGCAAGCCUGAUCCAGCCAUACCGCGUGGGUGAAGAAGGCCUUCGGGUUGUAAAGCCCUUUUGUUGGGAAAGAAAUCUUGCCGGUUAAUACCUGGCGAGGAUGACGGUACCCAAAGAAUAAGCACCGGCUAACUUCGUGCCAGCAGCCGCGGUAAUACGAAGGGUGCAAGCGUUACUCGGAAUUACUGGGCGUAAAGCGUGCGUAGGUGGUGGUUUAAGUCUGCUGUGAAAGCCCUGGGCUCAACCUGGGAAUUGCAGUGGAUACUGGGUCACUAGAGUGUGGUAGAGGGAUGCGGAAUUUCCGGUGUAGCAGUGAAAUGCGUAGAGAUCGGAAGGAACAUCCGUGGCGAAGGCGGCAUCCUGGGCCAACACUGACACUGAGGCACGAAAGCGUGGGGAGCAAACAGGAUUAGAUACCCUGGUAGUCCACGCCCUAAACGAUGCGAACUGGAUGUUGGGUGCAACUUGGCACCCAGUAUCGAAGCUAAC
RNAcentral lists this ribosomal RNA (514 nucleotides) under uncultured bacterium. RNAcentral's name for it is "bacterial SSU rRNA". It matches the Rfam family "Bacterial small subunit ribosomal RNA", at positions 351 to 856 of the family's 1533-position model. The record is from RNAcentral.